RNAcentral lists this non-coding RNA (26 nucleotides) under Mus musculus (house mouse). Lineage: Eukaryota; Metazoa; Chordata; Mammalia; Rodentia; Muridae. The record is from RNAcentral.
UGUACAGCUCUCUGAUGACCCCUUGU